Molecule: long non-coding RNA, 233 nt
Filed under: Salvia miltiorrhiza (redroot sage)
Lineage: Eukaryota; Viridiplantae; Streptophyta; Magnoliopsida; Lamiales; Lamiaceae
Description: long non-coding RNA (SMIL_LNC012723)
Source: RNAcentral
UGAUGUGCUUGAUUGUUUGUAUUCUAUUUGGCUAUAGAUUUAAGGUGAUUUUUUUUACAUGUGUGCUGUACUUGAUUCUUUAUUGUUUGUUUGUGUUUUCGCAUAAAAUAAGAAAAAGAAUAAUGUUUGUCUUGAACUGUGAUAUCUUGUUAAAAAUGGACCUUUUUCUACUAAAGCAUAUGAGCUAUGGGCCUUUUUCUGGAAUGAAUUGAAUGUAGGAUCGGACCAAAAAC